RNA transcript from Brassica rapa (field mustard), 9816 nucleotides. It is a transcript of the gene named BEACH domain-containing protein C1, with no coding region annotated. The record is from RefSeq and is a predicted model, not a curated record. Lineage: Eukaryota; Viridiplantae; Streptophyta; Magnoliopsida; Brassicales; Brassicaceae.
UGGUUAAGGUGUCGGCCCGUUUUGAUACCAUGUCAAGAAGUUUGAGCAAUACAUUGAGAACCUUCUUAUUCAUCAAGUAACUGAUACAAGCUCCAUAUAUACAAGUAUGUAUGUUAACUUAAAGCUUGUUAUACAAACCGGGUUACACACAAUAUAUGUCAGCUCAAUACCGGUCAAUGGUAUUAUCCAAAACGAUUCGAACCCGAAAAAGUAUCCGAAAUAAUCAGAAAAUCCGAAAAAGUCGUAAAGAUCAACAAGACUUGAGAGUAUCCAAAAAGGUAUUCAAAACCUAAAAAAUUAUCUCAAAUACUCAAUUUCGUUUAUGUUGAUCAACCCGUAAAGAUAUACUAAUCCGAAGUAUUAUUAACCGAACUCGAAUAAAUUUAGAUCAAAAAUGAAUUUAUGAUGAAAUUAUAAAAUAUAUCCAUACCCGAAGAAUUAUUAAAGGAACCCGACGCGAAAAUAUAUAAAAUCUGAAUGAGAUUGUGUCGUUUUAAAUUCCAAUUUAACCACUCAUUUGACUGGUCAAGAGCAGAGACAGGAGGAAGAAGGAAAUUUACCAUCGUAACUUUCUUAAUGGGUGCGAAAUUGCUAAAUCAAACAUCACUCCCUCUUUCUCGCGCUCACCUUUCUCCGAUCGUUGCUGCUCCUUCCAAUCGCCGGUUAGAUCAGAUUUUACAAGAAAUGUGAGCCGGAUAAUCUCAGUUGCUUCCCAUUCAUUUUUUUGUUUGCUUGGACAUUUUCUCCUACCAUUAUCACCGAAACCGUGCGUAUCUACUCUCAGUUCCUUCACAUGUCUAAGACAGAUCUCGUGUCUGAAUGUUCUGUAGAUUUCUUGUUGUCGGAAGCGAAAAUAUCAACAGGAUGGAGUUUUGUUCUGUCAUGUGUGCCCUAAUAUUUUUAUUUACAUAUUAUAUUCAUUUCAGCUUCCGUGUUUCCCACGUUAGUGCUUAUUUUCCAUUAUUUGGUGUUAAACAGGUGGUAAGUGAGAUACCUGUUUCCGUAGGUUCUCUAUAAGCUCUUUAAAAUGGAAGAAGACGAAGAAAAGAAACUCUCCAAAGUUUCUGAUGUUGAGAAUAUAAUAAAUGCAUCUGAUAAAGGAAACCCUAGUUUGAUUCCUGAUGAACAUGCUGAUGAUGAAGAUCUACAAGGGAUUAGUUUAGUUGACGCAGUCCUUGACGAUGACAACUUCGAACAAGUUUCGCUAAAAGAGGAAACGUCUCUUUCAUCAACGAGUCUAGAUCCUCUGGUUCAGUCCCCACAUAGACCCAAACCAAAGGAUACAAUGCAAAACGUUUCUCCAGAGUUGCUCCAUCUAGUUGAUUCGGCCAUCAUGGGCAAGCCUGAAAGCUUAGACAAGCUAAAGAACAUUGUCACUGGUGUUGAAAGUUUUGGGUCUGCAGAUGAUGAUGCUGAGACUAUUGCUUUCCUUGUUAUUGAUUCUCUUUUAGCUACCAUGGGUGGAGUUGAGAGCUUUGAAGAGGAUGAAGAUAGCAACCCACCUAGCGUGAUGCUGAACUCUCGUGCCGCCGUUGUAUCUGGAGAGCUUAUCCCUAACCUUCCUUGUUUGGGUGAUAGUGUUGUCUUCAUGUCUCCUAGGACACGCAUGGUGCGUGGCUUGCUUGCUAUAUUACGUUCUUGCACGAGGAACAGAGCUAUGUGUUCGAUGGCGGGACUGUUAAGUGUUCUAUUAAGAUCAGUAGAGGAGAUACUUGCCAAGGACGGUGAUAUGAAAUGGAAUGCAACACCUUUGUUGCAAUGUAUACAACACUUGGCUGGACACUCACUUAGUGUUGAAGACUUGCAUAGAUGGCUUCAUGUUAUUAAAACAUCUCUUCAAUCAGUGUUGUCAAGUCCUUUAAUGGAUGCUUUGGAGAAGGCAAUGAGUGGGAACGAAUCAAGAGGACCUUCAUGUAGCUUUGAGUUCGUUGGUGAAAGCUCAGGGCUACUUGGUCCAGGAGAAACGCGUUGGCCUUUUACUAACGGCUAUGCAUUUGCAACUUGGAUUUAUAUUGAGUCAUUUGCUGAUACUCUAAACGCUUCAACCGCAGCAGCCGCCAUUGCUGCCGCUUUAGCCGCCAAAUCAGGCAAGACAUCGGCUGCUAAUGUACAUGCUGGUGAAGGUACAGGUCUGUUCAGCUUCUUGACUCCUGAUAAUAACCAAGGAAUCGAAGUGUACUUCUAUGCACAGUUUUUAGUAGUUGAGAGUAGUAGUGGUAAAGGAAACAAAGCUUCACUUCAUUUCACUCAUGCUUUUAAGCCUCAGUGUUGGUACUUCAUUGGCCUUGAGCAUACAUGUAACCAAGGACUUUUAGGGAACUCAGAGAGUGAGCUGCGUCUGUAUAUAGACGGUUCCUUGUAUGAGACUCUUCCUUUUGAGUUUCCUCGUAUAUCCAAACCACUUUCUUCUUGUUGCAUUGGAUCAAACCCUCCUCCUCCUGCAUCUGCUGACCGUCGUCGGCGUCAGUGUGCUUUGUUUGCUGAGAUGGGACCAGUUUAUAUAUUUAAAGAAUCCAUUGGUCCUGAAAGAAUGACAAGAUUGGCAUCAAGAGGUGGUGAUGUUUUGCCUUGUUUUGGCAAUGGGGCUGGUCUUCCAUGGUUAGCUACAAAUGACCAUGUCCGUAAUGCGGCAGAGGAAAGCUGUCUUUUGGAUUCAGAGCUUGGAGUGUACAUUUACUUGCUUUACCACCCAUGUCUACUUAGUGGACGGUUCUGUCCAGAUGCUUCUCUACCUGGAGCAGCAGGUACUUUAAGACGACCAGCUGAAGUGAUUGGACAAGUCCAUGUUGCAACAAGAAUGAAGGCAGUGGAGUCUUUCUGGGCCUUAGCUUAUGGAGGACCAAUGUCUUUGCUUCCUCUAACAGUUAGCAAUGUGUGUAAAGAUACUCUUGAGCCAUCUUCUAGUAAUCUCCCAUUGUCUUUGACUACAUACUCUCUUGCUGCACCUAUCUUUAGAAUCAUCUCAGUUGCUAUCCAACAUCCUUGUAACAAUGAAGAGCUGUCUCGUACUCGAGGCCCUGAGAUUCUAGCCACCAUCCUUGGUUAUCUUCUUCACUCACUCUCUUCUCUUGAUCUCAAUCAUGAUAGAGUAGAAGACGAGGAGCUAGUUGCUUCCAUUGUCUCUGUUUGUCACUCUCAAAAGAUCAACCAUGCACUCAAAGUGCAGCUCUUCCGGACACUACUAUUGGACCUGAAGAUAUGGAGUGUGUGCCAUUACAGACUUCAGAAGAAGCUCUUGUCAUCUCUUCAAGAUAUGGUCUUCACUGAAGCAGAAGCUAUGAGAAAUGCUGAUGCUAUUCAAAUACUUCUUGAUGGAUGUAGAAGAUGUUACUGGAUGGUUCAAGAGAAAGACUCUGUCAACACUUUUUCUCUAGAUGGGGAUGUGCGACCAAUGGGGGAAAUUAAUGCAUUGGUUGAUGAGCUUUUGGUGAUUAUUGAACUUUUAAUGGGAGCAGCAUCUUCUUCCUUUGCUUCUGCUGAUGUUCAUAGAUUACUUGGCUUCAUAGUUGAUAGUCCACAGCCAAAUCAGGUGGCAAGGGUAUUGCAUCUCAUGUUCAGGUUGGUUGUACAGCCAAAUGCUGCAAAGGCUCAGACAUUUGCAGAGGUAUUUAUAACAUCAAGUGGGAUAGAAACACUUCUUGUUCUUCUGCAGAGAGAAGCUAAAAUGGGUGACGGCAACAUUGUAGAAUCUGUGUCUAAGGAUGGAACAAGAAUGACAACUGAUCAUAGUGAACAGACUCAGAACAAUGAGUCUGGUUUGGUAAAGCAGUUGGAUUCAGUUCCACAAGACACUCAUGCUCAUGAUAGUGACUCAGUUACCAUCUCCAACUCAAUGAAUGCUGACAGAACAUCGUCUGUUUCUGAAACUCCAUGUAGUAACAACACAAGGAACAAUACAAGAAACAGUGUUGAUGAUAGUGAUCGAGUUGUGGUUGGGGUCAUUAGAUUGAUUGGUGCAUUGGUAUCAAAAGGGCACUUGAAAUUUUCUCUUGGUUCCAAGUCUGAUGUCAUGAGUAACCUUAUGGGUCAUGGGUUUCAUGAAAGUGGUGGAACAAUGUUUGAUGAUAAAGUAUCAUUGCUUCUGUUUUCUCUGUUGAAAGCAUUUCAAGCAGCUCCAAAUAGGCUGAUGACUGAGAAUGUCUACACAACUUUGCUUGGGACCUCGAUCAAUGCUUCAUCAACUGAGGAUGGGGUGAACAUUUAUGAUUCAGGUCAUCGCUUUGAACACCCUCAGCUUCUGUUAAUCCUCCUGCGUUCUCUGCCAUUUGCAUCUAAGGCUCUACAAAAGCGAGCACUUCAGGAUCUUCUAUUUUUGGCUUGUAGCCAUCCGGAAAACAGGAACAGUCUCACAAAAAUGGAAGAGUGGCCUGAGUGGAUCUUGGAGACUUUGAUCUCAAACUACGAGAGAGAUGCAGGUAAACAAUCUGCUUCACCUGGCUCUGCUGAAGUGGAAAAUCUAAUUCAUAACUUCUUGAUCAUAAUGUUGGAACAUUCAAUGCGCCAAAAGGAUGGCUGGAAGGAUAUUGAGGCUACAACUCAUUGUGCAGAGUGGCUCUCUAUUGUUGGUGGGUCUAGCACUGGAGAGAAACGCAUUAGGCGUGAGGAAUCACUGCCAAUUUUCAAAAGAAGGCUUUUUGGUAGAUUGCUAGACUUUGCUGCCACAGAAUUACAAGCUCAGACUCAAGUUAUCGCUGAAGCAUCUGCUGGUGUCGCAGCAGAGAGUCUAGCACCAAAAGAAGCAAAGGCUGGAGUAGAAAACGCUGCUCAGUUUUCAGUGUUUCUCGUCGAAAACACAAUUGUGAUUUUGAUGCUUGUGGAAGAUCAUUUACGACUACAAAGCAAACAGAACUGCGCUGCAAACGCAGUUGAUGUUUCUCCAUCUCCUCUCUCUCUUGUUUAUCCCACUAACAACCGUCCACAUAUGUUGACAACAGUAGGAGAAUCAUCAGAGGUUUCUAGCAGCCGUGCUUCAGUGUCCAGUGAUUCAGGAGGGGUCCAUCUAGAUAUACUUGCUUCAAUGGCUGAUGCAAGUGGCCAGAUAUCUACCGCAGUAAUGGAGCGUCUUGCUGCAGCAGCAGCAGCUGAGCCUUAUGAAUCUGUUUCAUGCGCCUUUGUUUCAUAUGGUAGCUGUACAAUGGACUUAGCCGAGGGUUGGAAGUACAGGAGUAGACUGUGGUAUGGUGUUGGACUACCUCCUAAAACAAAUUGUUUUGGUGGUGGUGGAAGUGGCUGGGAGUCUUGGAAAGGUUCUUUACAGAAAGAUGCUCAUGGAAACUGGAUUGAACUUCCCUUGGUUAAAAAAUCAGUAUCAAUGCUUCAAGCUUUGCUGCUUGAUGAGUCUGGACUUGGAGGUGGGUUAGGAAUUGGUGGAGGAUCUGGCACUGGGAUGGGAGGGGUGUCAGCUCUCUACCAGUUGCUGGAUAGUGAUCAGCCUUUCUUAUGCAUGCUUAGAAUGGUGCUCUUGUCUUUGAGGGAAGAAGACCAUGGUGAAGAUAGCCUGUUGAUGAAAAACUUGAGUUCUGAAGAUGGUUUUUCUGGUGGACCAUUAGUUAUAAGUUCUAAUAUCUCACCAUCAGCAUUAUUGUGGAGUGUGCUAUCUCCUGUUCUAAACAUGCCAAUAUCUGAUUCAAAGAGGCAGAGAGUAUUGGUUACUACAUGUGUUCUAUAUUCUGAGGUAUGGCAUGCUGUGAGCAGAGACAAAAGGCCACUACGUAAGCAGUAUCUAGAGGCUAUAUUACCACCAUUUGUUGCAAUUCUCAGACGGUGGCGACCUCUUUUGGCUGGCAUUCAUGAACUUUCCACUGCUGACGGUUUGAAUCCUCUUGUUGUUGAUGACCGUGCUUUGGCUGCUGAUGCACUCCCCAUUGAGGCGGCUCUUUCUAUGAUAUCUCCGGAGUGGGCAGCUGCUUUUGCCUCCCCUCCUUCUGCAAUGGCACUGGCCAUGAUAGCCGCAGGUGCAGCUGGUUGGGAAGCGCCUCCACCUCCAGCACCACCAGCACCUCCAUCUCUUAGGCGAGACACUUCACUGCUUGAGCGUAAGAGUGCAAAACUUCAGAGCUUCUCCAGCUUCCAGAAGCCCUUGCAGGCUCCCAAAGAUGACACACCAGGUACACCAAGAGGUAAGGCUGCUGCAAAAGCGGCUGCUCUGGCUGCUGCACGUGAUCUUGAAAGGAGUGCCAAGAUUGGUACUGGGAGAGGUCUAAGUGCUGUUGCAAUGGCCACAUCUGGUCAGAGGAGGACUAUAAGUGACAUGGAGCGUUUGCAAAGAUGGAACAUCUCUGAAGCUAUGGGAGUGGCAUGGAUGGAAUGUCUUCAGCCAGUUGAUACAAAAUCAGUUUAUGGAAAAGACUUUAAUGCCUUGUCUUACAAGUUUAUUGCUGUGCUUGUUGCAAGCUUUGCCUUAGCACGUAACAUGCAGAGAUCUGAGAUUGAUAGGCGUAAACGAGAUGAUAAAAUAGUGAGGAAUCGCUUGUGCAUGGGAGUACGUGGAUGGCGCAAACUAGUACGUUACUUGGUAGAGAUGAGAUGCUUCUUUGGACCCUUUGGAGACCAUUUAUGCAGUCCUACACACGUUUAUUGGAAAUUGGAUUCUAUGGAAAGUUCUUUAAGGAUGAGACAGUGUUUGAGGAGGAACUACACUGGUUGUGAUCAUCCUGAGGCAGCAGUAAACUUGGAUUCUGCAUUAGAUGCACCUUUUCUUGCUGUUGAAGAAAUACCAAAGGAGAUAAUGUAUGAAGAUGAUGAAUAUAAAGAUGCAAAUGAUCUUGAACACGAAGGGAAAAAUGAAGAGAGGAUGUCUGGCUCACUUGAGGAUGCAAUAGAACUGUCAAGUGGAAUCAGUGAUCCUCGACCAUUGAGCGACCAAGAUGUGGUUCAGAAUUCUAGAGAAGUGGUUCUCAAGGAACUUGAUGAAAGGAUUGUUCUUGAAGUUUCCUCUUCUAUGGUUAGACCAUUAAGGGUUGUGAAAGGAACCUUUCAGAUUACAACAAGGAGAAUAAAUUUUCUUGUUGACAUGAGUGAAUGCCAAGAUGUAGAUGGUAAGUCAGAAGGUUCAGAAGACCAAGAAAGAGAUCGUAGUUGGUUGAUGUCUUCUCUUCAUCAGAUUUAUACCCGAAGAUAUCAACUGAGAAAGAGUGCUUUGGAACUAUUCAUGGUCGAUCGCUCAAACUUCUUAUUUGAUUUUGGGAACACUGAGGGAAAAACUAAUGCAUAUAGAACUAUAGUUCAAGCAAGGCCUCCUCAUUUAAACAAUAUUUACCUGACAGCUCAGAGGCCAGAACAGCUUUUGAGAAGAACUCAGUUAAUGGAACGAUGGUCUAGAUGGGAGAUCAGCAACUUUGAGUACUUAAUGCAGCUCAACACGUUGGCUGGGCGUAGUUAUAAUGAUAUCACUCAGUAUCCUGUUUUCCCAUGGAUUCUGUCUGACUAUACAUCACAAGUCCUGGACCUUUCAAAUCCAUCUAGCUUUAGAGAUCUUUCUAAGCCUAUUGGUGCAUUGAACCCAGAGCGGCUUAAAAAGUUUCAAGAACAAUAUACAAACUUUGAAGAUCCAGUAAUCCCCAAGUUCCAUUAUGGUUCACAUUACUCAAGUGCUGGAGCAGUGUUACAUUAUUUAGCUAGAGUUGAACCUUUUACAACAGUACUCUCAAUACAACUGCACGGUGGAAAGUUCGAUCGUGCAGACCGAAUGUUUUCAGACAUUGCAGCCACAUGGAAAGGAGUUCUACAAGAUAUGGAGAAUGUAAAGGAGCUGGUUCCAGAGUUAUUUUACCUUCCUGAGGUGUUGACCAACGAGAAUCAUACAAAGCUUGGUACUGUAAACCUUCCUCCUUGGGCUAAAACCCCUGUUGACUUUGUACACAAGCAACGAAUGGCUCUUGAGAGUGAGCAUGUCUCUGCACACUUGCAUGAAUGGAUUGAUCUCAUUUUUGGGUAUAAGCAACGUGGUAAGGAAGCUAUAACGUCAAAUAAUGUAUUCUUCUACACUACAUACGAGGGAACAGUUGAUAUUGAUAAGAUAAAGGAUCCUGUACAACAGCGAACUACUCAGGACAAGAUAGCUUACCUAGGGCAAACACCUUCCCAGCUAUUGACUGUGCCUCACAUAAAAAGAAUGCCUCUUAAAGAUGUCCUUCACAUGCAGACAAUCUUUAGGAACCCAAAGGAGAUAAAACCGUAUCCAGUUACAGCACCAGAACACUGCAACUUACCAGCAGCAGCCAUCAAGGCAUCUUCUGAUAACGUUGUGGUCGUUGACAUGAAUGGUCCUGCAGCACAUAUUGCACAGCACAAGUGGCAACCAAACACUCCCGAUGGUCAGAGUACACCUUUCAUCUUUCAUCACGCUAAGGAGGCUUCAACUGGUGUAACGUUGAUACGCAUGUUCAAAGGUGAUUCUGAGUAUCCACAAGCACAGGCUUAUGGGUCAUCAGGAAUCAGAAGUUCUUCGGUGACUGCUAUUACAAGCGACGGAGAGAUUAUCACUGGUGGACAUGUGGAUAAUAGCAUCAAGCUAGUCUCAUCUGAUGGAGCCAAAACACUGGAAACAGCUUUUAGCCACUGUGCUCCUGUAACAUGUCUGGCUUUGUCUCCAGACAGCAACUUCCUUGUCACAGGUUCAAGAGAUACAACUCUUUUGAUGUGGAGGUUUCACAAGGGACUCACUUCUCAGACAAGUGAGUCCCAACAGACAAAAAUUUCAGAGACACCUUCCUCCGCAAGCAACACCUUGGCUAACAAAGCCAAGAAGCGUCGCAUUGAAGGGCCUAUACAAGUGCUACAUGGCCACUUAAGAGAAGUAACAUGUUGCUGUGUCAGCUCAGAUCACGGAAUCGUUGUUUCUUCCUCUGCGUCAAGGGAUGUUCUGGUGCAUUCCAUAAGGAAAGGUCGACUAAUUAGACGGCUUGUUGGCGUGAAGGCCAAUGCUCUCUGCAUCUCUUCUGGUGGAGUUAUAGUGGUUUGGAGUAGAUCAGAAAGUACUAUCAGCUCGUUCACCAUCAAUGGUGUUCUCAUCUCUAAAGCCAAACUUCCUUCCUCUUGUACUAUAAGUUGCAUGGAACUGUCCAUGGAUGGCCAAAAUGUUGUGGUUGGUGUAAACUCGUUGUCCUACACUGGCGAAGAAGAUUCAUCAAGCGGAGACAAUGCGAUUAACAUACUGGACGUUCCAUCUCCUUCAAUAUGCUUCCUCAACUUAUACACUCUCAAGGUAUUAUCAGGACCGGCCUUGAGAUUUUGGAACCUUAAACAAUUUAGUAAGAGUUUUAGUAAGAAUUUUUUUAAAGAAUGUGGGAUAUGUAAUAUAUUAACUCGGAAAAGUUUAGGUCUAAUGCUAUGUUUUACUUGGCUAUGCUCAGGACCGUAUUACUAUAUUAUUCAAGACCAUAGAUGGCUCUUGAUGUUGUUGAAAGAGAACUUUGACUAACAAACAAGUAACUCUUCUUCUUGUGUAGGUAUUCCAUGUGAUGAAGCUUGGUAAAGGGCAAAAUAUAACAGCUAUGGCUCUGAACAUAGACAAUACUAACCUCUUAGUUUCCACUGAAGAUAAACAGUUGAUCAUCUUCACCAGCCCAUCUAAUCAAAUUGCUUCAAAUUGAACUCGAAGGUGGUGGAUCAGACAGUGAAACUUGGAUCGGAAUAACAUUGUAUUCAAUCAAAACCUUUCGGUAAAAUUAACGGCAAACUCACGGAACUUUACUAUGUAUAGUCAGGUUUUCACAUGUUUUCUUCGUAUGUAUUAUUAACUUAUGAUUAACAAUAACAGUAUACUGGUAUGGUACUUACAAACUAGAUGAUUACGUGGGAUAAGUACCGUAGAAA